RNAcentral lists this ribosomal RNA (577 nucleotides) under uncultured Thermoprotei archaeon. RNAcentral describes it as "bacterial SSU rRNA". It matches the Rfam family "Archaeal small subunit ribosomal RNA", at positions 423 to 1000 of the family's 1478-position model. The record is from RNAcentral. Lineage: Archaea; Thermoproteati; Thermoproteota; Thermoprotei.
AAAGCUGNGAGAAUAAGGAGAGGGCAAGUCUGGUGUCAGCCGCCGCGGUAAUACCAGCUCUCCGAGUGGUGUGGACGUUUAUUGGGCCUAAAGCAUCCGUAGCUGGCUGAACAAGUCCCCUGUUAAACCCACCGAUUUAAUCGUUGGUCUGCGGGGGAUACUGCUUGGCUAGGGGACGAGAGAGGCAGACGGUAUUCCCGGGGUAGGGGUGAAAUCCUAUAAUCCCGAGAGGACCACCAGUGGCGAAGGCUGUCUGNUAGAACGCGCCCGACGGUGAGGGAUGAAAGCUGGGGGAGCGAACCGGAUUAGAUACCCGGGUAGUCCCAGCUGUAAACGAUGCAGACUAGGUGUUUGGACGGCCACGUGCCGUUCUAGUGCCGCAGGGAAGCUGUUAAGUCUGCCGCCUGGGGAGUACGAUCGCAAGAUUGAAACUUAAAGGAAUUGGCGGGGGAGCACCACAAGGGGUGAAGCUUGCGGUUUAAUUGGAGUCAACGCCGGAAAUCUCACCGGGAGCGACAGCAGUUUGAAGGCCAGAUUAAAGGUCUUGCCAGACGAGCUGAGAGGAGGUGCAUGGCCA